AUUGACGCUGGCGGCAGGCUUAACACAUGCAAGUCGAGCGGAGACUUCGGUCUUAGCGGCGAACGGGUGAGGAAUGCCUGGGAAUCUGCCUGGUAGUGGGGGAUAACGUUCCGAAAGGAACGCUAAUACCGCAUACGUCCUACGGGAGAAAGCAGGGGGACCUUCGGGCCUUGCGCUAUCAGAUGAGCCCAGGUCGGAUUAGCUAGUAGGUGAGGUAAAGGCUCACCUAGGCGACGAUCCGUAGCUGGUCUGAGAGGAUGAUCAGCCACACUGGAACCUGAGACACGGUCCAGACUCCUACGGGAGGCAGCAGUGGGGAAUAUGGACAAUGGGCGAAAGCCUGAUCCAGCCAUGCCGCGUGUGUG
RNAcentral lists this ribosomal RNA (365 nucleotides) under uncultured bacterium. Its description in RNAcentral is "bacterial SSU rRNA". It matches the Rfam family "Bacterial small subunit ribosomal RNA", at positions 29 to 407 of the family's 1533-position model. The record is from RNAcentral.